Long non-coding RNA from Carassius gibelio (silver crucian carp), 606 nucleotides. RefSeq lists it as uncharacterized. Lineage: Eukaryota; Metazoa; Chordata; Actinopteri; Cypriniformes; Cyprinidae. The record is from RefSeq and is a predicted model, not a curated record. The transcript has 2 exons.
ACUACACAUGCUAAUGCAGUCUCAUGAGCAAGACCUUUGCCUCUGUAACUUUUUCUUAAUUCUUUAAUUUUUAUUGCAGUAUUUUAAUUUGUACAGAUGAUCUCAUCAGCCAAAUGAGGGGUUUUGACCAAGUGAUGCUCUUGAAAGGAGUGAAAGAAGAGGAUGUGCUAAAUUCUCUUCAGAGAAAAAGCUUCUCAAAAGGUCUCAAAACAGCUUGAAGAAUGGUCUGGGAUGUUAGGACUGAGAGAUCCUCUGGCUGAGAACAAGCUACACCACAUCAGUGCUGGAUAUCAACCACAAACUGUUUCCAGACACGAGAGAAGAAGAACACGAUGGGGAGAUGAAACCAGUUUAGAUGUGAUGAUGGGAAUCAUUAUUUUCUGGAACAGUAUCUCAUGUCUUAUAUAUAUAUCACAUGAUCUGUAUCACAGUUGACUGGAUGGGACUGUGUGACUUUUAAGGACAUUUCAUCACUCAUCUGUGUGAACUGAUUUAUAUAUGAGGUUAAUGUAUUUUUGAUGAUAAUUAUUUUCAUUGAAUCUUAUUUGUCUUGAUGCUACUUUAUCAACUUUAUAGUCUAUGCUUCAAUAAAAUGAAAAUGGUGAA